Molecule: long non-coding RNA, 1138 nt
Filed under: Anolis carolinensis (green anole)
Lineage: Eukaryota; Metazoa; Chordata; Lepidosauria; Squamata; Anolidae
Description: lncRNA (ENSACAG00000041711.1)
Source: RNAcentral
ACAAUCAGGCCGUAGUCAGGGUCAUCAACAAACAAACAUCAAAAUCUCCUAGGGUCAUGAGGCUUGUAAGGCGUUUUGUACUAACUUGCUUGGAAGCUAACAUCACUUUCUUAGCCCAAUAUAUUCCAGGUGUUCACAAUGAAGUAGAGGAUGCAUUGUCCCGUUUCCAGGACGACAGGUUUCGGUCGCUAGCACCAGAAGCAGACCUCCAGCCCACCAUUUUCCCACAGGAGCUGUGGACCCUUGGAGAGGAGAAGCCUGGUCGGAACUGAUGCUAACCAUUGCACCCGCAACCAGGAGGGCCUACCGUGCAGCUAUGACUACAUUCAUCAAAUUCAGGCUGGAAGCGGGGUACGGCAGCAGAUGGCCAACCAGCGAGGACGAGGUGCUACAUUUCAUCAUUCAUCAGAGGAGGGCCAACGUCUCAGCACACGCCAUGCGGCGGCAACUGGCAGGCAUUGCCUUCCACAGCAAAGCGGCAGGAUGGGGAGAUCCAUGCAAUGACUACCGAACAAGGAAGUUAUUGAGAGGAUGGAGCAAGCGGGCACCGAAGCAGAAAGAUGGAAGACGCCCCCUCUCUUACAACACUCUCAGCAGGCUCAUCUCGUCACUGAAGGGAAUCUGCGCUUCACGUUAUGAGGUGAAACUUUUCACAGCAGCUUAUACCACAGCCUUUUUCGGGGCACUGAGACUAGGGGAGGUGGUGGCCGACUCCAAGUCCGAUGGUUCUGGGAGGGCACUACAGCUCAGGGAUGUUUCUAUCAGGCAUAAUUCACUGGUUAUUCGGAUCAGGCAAUCCAAGACUGAUCAAGGGGGAAGAGGGGCAUCCCUCAACAUCCAAGGGUUAGAACCGGGGCGGUUAUGUCCAGUCAGGGCACUCUCUGAAUUUUUACACAUGCGUAGGUCAUCCCCGGGAACGCUUUUCGUCCAUCGCAAUGGUACCCCACUAUCUAGGUACCAGUUCAUGGCAAUAUUCCGUAGCACCCUACGAGGCCUGGGCCUUCCCACUGCUGAGUACGGAGGGCACUCAUUCAGGAUAGGAGCAGCCACCACUGCAGCGGUGGGAGGUGUGCCAGUGGAUAUCAUAAAAGCCAUGGGGAGGUGGAAAUCGGCAGCUUACUCGUCAUACAUCAGACCC